UUUCUCUACCUUCUCCUCAUCAACAACCUCAUCCAUUUGUGUCUCCAAAUUUCUGAAGGUAACUUCAUAGCUCUUGGAAUCACACUUCUCCAGAAAUUUGUCGAACUUUUCAUUAAGGCUUUUGACUUGUUCCAUCACAUCAGUUAUCUGUUGGCAUAGUUGUUGAUCAUACUCCCACGUUUCUAUUGGUGAAGAGUAUUGUUACUGCCACUGAUAUUGUUGCCUUUCUUCCAUGCUUCUAUGAGAAGAAAAUCUUGUAUACAUGUCUUGUGGAAAGAAUU
Molecule: long non-coding RNA, 281 nt
Filed under: Vigna radiata
Lineage: Eukaryota; Viridiplantae; Streptophyta; Magnoliopsida; Fabales; Fabaceae
Description: long non-coding RNA (VRAD_LNC000091)
Source: RNAcentral